UAUAUAGGAACUUUUACUAUUACAAACCUGUGUACAGUCUGCUAAACUGGAGCUUCAGGCGUGACAAAUAUUCAAUUUGAAUCCAGCAGGUGAGGACCACCUUCAGCAUCUAUACAUUUUUGUUUCUAUUAUAUGCUUAUCCUAUGCUUUUCCUUCACCAAUUUUUUAUCUUUUAUCCACCAAAACUAUAUUCCCCUACAAAUCCCUACUGUUUCAUACCUCUAUUUAAACCCCAUAUGCUCUUCUUCUCUAGGUACAAGAUGAAUAAAAUACCCUUUGUAGCUAGCUAGGUUUCCUUUUCCUUUAUCAAAAUACCCUAAUGGGAAUUCAGCAAGUUGUCACGGACUUUAGUCGGAGACUGACGAAUUGGCGGUUUUAUGAUCGUCAUGCACUAUUAUGAGUUAAAGCUGCCAGCGUGAUCUAAACGUUUCUUCUUCGUUGAGGAACGAUAAGAUCACGUGGUUGCUUCAUCUGAUGCUGGUGGCAUGAAACCCUAUUUUCUAAUUCAAUCGUUAAGGUUUCUCUUUGUUGAAAGAAUGAAAUUUCGUGGAUCCCUAGACGUGCUUUAGGAGGAAAGAGAAGAAGGGAUGCUUACUAUCAUUCGAGUGCCACUGUCCAAUUGCCUUCUUCCUGAGGAGAAGGACGCUGCUUUCUGUCUAUGCCCUUUCUUUCCAAAAGGGAGAGGGCCGAUAGGUCAAUCAAUCUAUGAGAAGGUUCAUCCAUUCCUUCCAGAAAUGCGGGAUGGGAAAGCUCAAAGACUUUCUGGACUUAUACUUGGUAGCCUGCUGCUGCUCAUAAACCGUAGAGAGCCUCUUUCUGGUCUCUGAGGUGCCAAGGCUCACUGCAAAGACGUUGUCCGCUUUAUAUUUCAGGUCUUACCCCCACGUAUCUACUUUACUUUAUGAGCAAUAGCCGCCUUCUCGUUGCCUCCGCAUGAUAGUGAUAUCAUAGUUGAAUCAUAGACCUUAUCUGUGGGCUUUCGAACUCUCCUUCCUACUACUCUUUCACCUAUCUGCUCAUUUUUGUCUCAUUUUCUGAUUAAUCCUAAGAAUUGAGAUUCUUAUGAUAUCUUGUUAAUUUACAGUUCAAUGUUUUUCUUGAAGCCAGAAAUUUUUUAUGUAGGACUGUAAUUUUAUUGACGUUUCGUCUUUUAUUCUUAGGGGCGCUUGAUUGAUGUAGAUCUGACUGAUCUACUCUAUCAUUAAGAAUUCUGGUGGUUGGUUAGUUUUCAAGACAGCUUAUGUAUUUUUUGGCAUUUUUCCCCAUAAGUUUUGCAGCCUGGCAUUUUUGUACAACACUUUUGUCUAAAAAAUGUGUACCAAAUCAGAACUAUAUUUAUAUAUACUGAGUAAAUCUGAGUGCUACAAGGAUGAAGUAGGAAAAUUUCUCAAUAGAUAGUUGAACUUCGCCUAAACAAAACUGGGAUCAAUGACAACAAAUUUACAGAUCUAAAUGCACUUAUAUCAGGAUGGAACUCAAGGAUCCUUCCAAAAGAAAAUUUGCACCUUAAAAUGCAUGAGCAGAUCAAGACGCUUAUGAUUGAGCAUUUUGAUCUGAUCGUGCAUUUAAAGUCUAAACAUUAAUCCCGAUUUUUCUAGGCCGAGAUUGAUUUAGUUUGUUGAUGAUAUUGCCUUGUUUGGAACCACGAUUUAAUCGUGAUUAUUUGGACAUUCUUGAAAUUUUCUCUUCCAUUUGGUAUCUCAGUGCUAUGAAUACUAAUGUGCUCUUUCUUGAGAAAUACUUAAAGCAGAAUAAAUCAAAACAUCAUGUAAUUAACCUGUGGUUGAUUCAAAUUUAUGAAUUAUUGGCAUAUAGUCAUGUAUCAUUGACAGAACAAUGGGCAGCUCAUCUUUUUUGGUUUAGAGUUCCUGGAAGAGUUGGUUCCUUUACUGUUUUCUGAAUGUAGAAACAGAAUGGACAGCUCUCAUCUCAUGAACCCAUAUCAUUUAAGACUGCAUAUUACUCGACAGUCCCAGAUCAAUACAUGCUUUUAAUUCUUACACAUACUUGUAGAAUUCUGUAACUCGAGUUCAACAAUUUAUUGUCUCAACUUAAUUAUAAAUGCAUGUUGAUUUCCAUGAACAAGAUCAGGAGAUUAUAUACUGUUAUAGCAGAAAAAUCAUGAACUAAUUAACCUUUGGUUGAUUCAUAGUAAUGGAUAACUCAUCUCUUUUGUACACAGGUCUGGUUUUGGAGCCCUUCAAGGUUUUCUAAAUGUAGAAGCUGGAAUGGACAACUGAUCUUUACAUUUAAUGUGUGUGUGUGUGUGUGAGGUAUAUACUCAUCUCAAUUUUUUUCUUCAGUAUUAGGCAAGAUUCCACACACCUUUGGCAGUCCCGGUUGUCCAUUAAUGCAUGUGAAAUGUUCUAUGAGUCUUCCUUGGCCACUCUCAUUCAGAUGGAAAUGAGAAAAAUGAUAAGCUUGUUACAAUUCCAUUGGUCCCCAGAAGUGACAUCCAGCAAGAUAUGGUUUAGGAAUUAAGCUCCUUGUCCUGAUGAAAUGUACCAGAAGCAUUACAGAUGAUAAGGGUGGAUUGGCUGGUUUAUAUUUGAUUUUUGUCCAACAUUCAAUGAAAUCGUGCCUCUGAGAAUCUGUCAAAUUGUGCAAAAAUCCCUCCUAUGAUUGAUGUUUUAGCCCUCCACCAAUGUCUGCUUCUAUUUCUUAUUAUUUUAUUCCUAAUUAGCGUAUAUUAAGCAACAAAGACAACAAACAAUAAAAAUAUGUGAACCGUUUUUUGUCAUUCCA
Olea europaea var. sylvestris is the source of this 2745-nucleotide long non-coding RNA. RefSeq lists it as uncharacterized. Lineage: Eukaryota; Viridiplantae; Streptophyta; Magnoliopsida; Lamiales; Oleaceae. The record is from RefSeq and is a predicted model, not a curated record. The transcript is spliced from 3 exons.